GAUGAAGAACGCAGCGAAAUGCGAUACUUGGUGUGAAUUGCAGAAUCCCGUGAACCAUCGAGUCUUUGAACGCAAGUUGCGCCCGAAGCCAUCAGGUUGAGGGCACGUCUGCCUGGGCGUCACAUAUCGUUGCCCAAUGCCUAUUGCAGUGCAAUAGGAAUUUCUAGGGCGAAUGAUGGCUUCCCGUGAGCGUUGUUGCCUCGCGGUUGGUUGAAAAUCGAGUCCUUGGUAGGGUGUGCCAUGGUAGAUGGUGGUCGAGUUAGAACGAUACCGAUCAUGUGCAUGCUCCCCAAAAUAUGGCCUCUAUGACCCACACGCCUCUUUUGACGCUCAUGACGAGACCUCAGGUCAGGCGGGGCUACCCGCUGAAUUUAAGCAUAUCAAUAAGCGGAGGA
Molecule: unclassified non-coding RNA, 395 nt
Filed under: soil metagenome
Description: partial contains 5.8S ribosomal RNA, internal transcribed spacer 2, and large subunit ribosomal RNA
Rfam family: 5.8S ribosomal RNA (bases 1-122)
Source: RNAcentral